RNAcentral lists this long non-coding RNA (209 nucleotides) under Bos taurus (domestic cattle). RNAcentral's name for it is "long non-coding RNA NONBTAT011589". Lineage: Eukaryota; Metazoa; Chordata; Mammalia; Artiodactyla; Bovidae. The record is from RNAcentral.
UUUAAAAAUUCAUUGCUUUAAAAAGAAUGGCACUAGGCACUGUCAAGAGUUUGAUGAAAUCUGGUUAUUGCUCUCAAGAGAUCCCAGUCUCUUAUGAUUCUAUAAUCUUACUUAGUCCUGAACUGUUACCAGAUCUAAGGGUGAGCAUAAACUAACUUAAUGAUUCAGAGGAAGUUCAGUCAAGAUUUACAGAUCUGAACAUAUCUUCU